AUGGCCCGUCUGAACUUUAGAGUCAUCAUCCUGAUCCCCAAAGUAAUUGGGGCAACGGGUAUGUGACAGUUUAGGCUGAUCAUCAUUAUUAAUGUUCUUGAGAGGGAUUUUGCGAAGGUAUGUGCCUUGCGUCUUGCACAUAUUGCGGAGUGUAUCGCAUACCCCUUCCAAUCUGUGUUUUUGAAGGGUUUACGCAUCCAUGAUGGGAUCUUGGCCCUUCAUGAGAUUGUCCACGAGGUUAGCAGGCGCCAACGUCUUUUUGAAGCUGGACUUCCAAAAGACAUAUGA
RNAcentral lists this ribosomal RNA (288 nucleotides) under Triticum aestivum (bread wheat). RNAcentral's name for it is "partial small subunit ribosomal RNA". Lineage: Eukaryota; Viridiplantae; Streptophyta; Magnoliopsida; Poales; Poaceae. The record is from RNAcentral.